GCCUCUGUAGCUCAGUUGGUUAGAGCGCUGCACCGGAAUCGCAGGGCCGUAGGUUCAAUUCCUACCAGAGGNN
Molecule: transfer RNA, 73 nt
Filed under: Paramuricea clavata
Lineage: Eukaryota; Metazoa; Cnidaria; Anthozoa; Malacalcyonacea; Plexauridae
Rfam family: tRNA
About the family: Transfer RNA (tRNA) molecules are approximately 80 nucleotides in length.
Source: Rfam by way of RNAcentral